RNAcentral lists this ribosomal RNA (662 nucleotides) under Achromobacter sp. PS-1. RNAcentral describes it as "bacterial SSU rRNA". It matches the Rfam family "Bacterial small subunit ribosomal RNA", at positions 68 to 725 of the family's 1533-position model. The record is from RNAcentral. Lineage: Bacteria; Pseudomonadati; Pseudomonadota; Betaproteobacteria; Burkholderiales; Alcaligenaceae.
GGCAGCACGGACUUCGGUCUGGUGGCGAGUGGCGAACGGGUGAGUAAUGUAUCGGAACGUGCCCAGUAGCGGGGGAUAACUACGCGAAAGCGUAGCUAUACCGCAUACGCCCUACGGGGGAAAGCAGGGGAUCGCAAGACCUUGCACUAUUGGAGCGGCCGAUAUCGGAUUAGCUAGUUGGUGGGGUAACGGCUCACCAAGGCGACGAUCCGUAGCUGGUUUGAGAGGACGACCAGCCACACUGGGACUGAGACACGGCCCAGACUCCUACGGGAGGCAGCAGUGGGGAAUUUUGGACAAUGGGGGAAACCCUGAUCCAGCCAUCCCGCGUGUGCGAUGAAGGCCUUCGGGUUGUAAAGCACUUUUGGCAGGAAAGAAACGUCGCGGGUUAAUACCCCGCGAAACUGACGGUACCUGCAGAAUAAGCACCGGCUAACUACGUGCCAGCAGCCGCGGUAAUACGUAGGGUGCAAGCGUUAAUCGGAAUUACUGGGCGUAAAGCGUGCGCAGGCGGUUCGGAAAGAAAGAUGUGAAAUCCCAGAGCUUAACUUUGGAACUGCAUUUUUAACUACCGGGCUAGAGUGUGUCAGAGGGAGGUGGAAUUCCGCGUGUAGCAGUGAAAUGCGUAGAUAUGCGGAGGAACACCGAUGGCGAAAGGCAGG